RNAcentral lists this ribosomal RNA (851 nucleotides) under uncultured bacterium. RNAcentral's name for it is "bacterial SSU rRNA". It matches the Rfam family "Bacterial small subunit ribosomal RNA", at positions 139 to 987 of the family's 1533-position model. The record is from RNAcentral.
GGGGAUAACCCGGGGAAACUCGGGCUAAUACCGCAUAUGACCGAGAGGUCAAAGGGGGCCGCAAGGCUCUCGCCAUAGGAGGAGCCCGCGUUCGAUUAGCUAGUUGGUAGGGUAAUGGCCUACCAAGGCGACGAUCGAUAGCCGGCCUGAGAGGGUGAUCGGCCACACCGGAACUGAGACACGGUCCGGACUCCUACGGGAGGCAGCAGUGGGGAAUUUUGCGCAAUGGGCUAACGCCUGACGCAGCAACGCCGCGUGGAGGAUGAAGGUCUUUGGAUUGUAAACUCCUGUCAGCAGGGAAAAAGCGAAUCGGCUUAAUACGCCGGUGAGUUGAUUGUACCUGCAGAGGAAGCCCCGGCUAACUCUGUGCCAGCAGCCGCGGUAAUACAGAGGGGGCAAGCGUUAUUCGGAAUUAUUGGGCGUAAAGGGCGCGUAGGUGGCUUGGCAAGUGGAAGGUGAAAUCCCUCGGCUCAACUGAGGAACUGCCUUCCAGACUGCUUUGCUUGAGGCCGGGAGAGGCGAGUGGAAUUCCCAGUGUAGCGGUGAAAUGCGUAGAUAUUGGGAGGAACACCAGUGGCGAAGGCGACUCGCUGGACCGGUUCUGACGCUGAGGCGCGAAAGCGUGGGGAGCAAACAGGAUUAGAUACCCUGGUAGUCCACGCCGUAAACGAUGAGUGCUGGGUGUCGCGGGUAUCGACCCCUGCGGUGCCGAAGUCAACACAUUAAGCACUCCGCCUGGGGAGUACGGUCGCAAGGCUGAAACGUCAAAGGAAUUGACGGGGGCCCGCACAAGCGGUGGAGCAUGUGGCUUAAUUCGAAGCAACGCGCAGAACCUUACCUGGGUUUGAACU